GUUGGCUGUCUUGCCACAAAUGAGAAAUGACUUCAUACAAUUUUGUCAGUUACUGAAGGAUGAGGCAUCUGGCCACCAGAGAUGGAAUUUGGUUGAAAUGAAAACAGUAAAAACAUAAGAGGACAGAAGAACUAAAAGCGACAGCUCCUGUCUCAAUAAAAUAAAGACUUAUGGUGAAGGCUACCUUUCCAGAUAGACCAGCAGCUAAGUCACCAGUUUCCAAGGGUAUUUGCACCACCUGUGGAAAACAUCAGUUCCAUGCUCACCAGAUGUCCUUGACAACUCAUGCCGCCAUCCCCCUGCACAAAAUUUGCUGCACCAGCAGGCUAUGAAGGCAACCACUGAGCUUCUUUUCAUUACCAAGUAGAUAUAAUUUCCCUGACAACAAAACACAAGUGUCUCUUUACAGUAUCACAACCUGUUGAGACCACACUAAGAAAAUCAGCUUGCCUACACGAGGACCCCUUCUCUUCUUGGGUAGCCAGGAUUUAAAGGAGAGACUCUGACCUGUGCCACUGGAGGCUACUGGAGGAUGUGCUUCACCAAAACAAAGGAGUAAUCUAAGUAAGAAGGCAUGGGAUCCUGAGAACAUAAGAUCUCACAAAGGAAUGCAAUGAAAGAAAGUCCCAGGAUGACUACUGUGUCAAGUAAGUAGGAUGGGGGUUUAGGAAGUAGGUCUCCAGAAAACAUGGAACAAAGUGAGUAUAUGGAAAAUGUAGACAAGAAUGAGACAGAUAUUGAGAAAUUAGGAGAAAAUAAUAAGAUAAUUACAUAGAAGACUGGGUUAAUGAUA
This is a long non-coding RNA of Molossus molossus (Pallas's mastiff bat), 793 nucleotides long. RefSeq lists it as uncharacterized. Lineage: Eukaryota; Metazoa; Chordata; Mammalia; Chiroptera; Molossidae. The record is from RefSeq and is a predicted model, not a curated record. The transcript has 4 exons.